GGAGAGAUGGCAGAGUUCGGUUGAAUGCACCUGACUUGAAAUCAGGCGUGGGCUCGCGCCCACCGGGGGUUCGAAUCCCUCUCUCUCCGCCA
This 92-nucleotide transfer RNA is filed under the name Pseudidiomarina tainanensis. RNAcentral's name for it is "Idiomarina tainanensis tRNA-Ser". It matches the Rfam family "tRNA". From Rfam's summary of the family: Transfer RNA (tRNA) molecules are approximately 80 nucleotides in length. The record is from RNAcentral. Lineage: Bacteria; Pseudomonadati; Pseudomonadota; Gammaproteobacteria; Alteromonadales; Idiomarinaceae. RNAcentral also lists the same sequence under 8 other names.